This 279-nucleotide ribosomal RNA is filed under the name uncultured bacterium. RNAcentral's name for it is "partial 16S ribosomal RNA". It matches the Rfam family "Bacterial small subunit ribosomal RNA", at positions 506 to 784 of the family's 1533-position model. The record is from RNAcentral.
UGCCAGCAGCCGCGGUAACACGAACCGUACAAACGUUAUUCGGAAUCACUGGGCUUAAAGGGUGCGUAGGCGGCGUGGUAAGUUGGGUGUGAAAUCCCUCGGCUCAACCGAGGAAUUGCGCUCAAAACUGCCAUGCUCGAGGGAGACAGAGGUAAGCGGAACUCAGGGUGGAGCGGUGAAAUGCGUUGAUAUCCUGGGGAACACCAGUGGCGAAGGCGGCUUACUGGGUCUCUUCUGACGCUGAGGCACGAAAGCUAGGGUAGCGAACGGGAUUAGAUA